Molecule: transfer RNA, 76 nt
Filed under: bacterium
Lineage: Bacteria
Also listed under: 2 other names
Description: tRNA-Val
Rfam family: tRNA
About the family: Transfer RNA (tRNA) molecules are approximately 80 nucleotides in length. Their secondary structure includes four short double-helical elements and three loops (D, anti-codon, and T loops).
Source: RNAcentral
AGGGAAUUAGCUCAGUUGGUAGAGCGCCACCCUUACAAGGUGGAUGUCGUCGGUUCGAGCCCGGCAUUCCCUACCA